UACGGAGGGGGUUAGCGUUGUUCGGAAUUACUGGGCGUAAAGCGCGCGUAGGCGGACCUGCAAGUCGGGGGUGAAAGCCCGAGGCUCAACCUAGGAACUGACUUCGAUACUGCGGGUCUCGAGUCCGGGAGAGGUGAGUGGAAUUCCUAGUGUAGAGGUGAAAUUCGUAGAUAUUAGGAAGAACACCAGUGGCGAAGGCGGCUCACUGGCCCGGUACUGACGGUGAGGCGCUAAAGCGUGGAUAGCAAACAGG
RNAcentral lists this ribosomal RNA (253 nucleotides) under uncultured bacterium. RNAcentral's name for it is "partial 16S ribosomal RNA". It matches the Rfam family "Bacterial small subunit ribosomal RNA", at positions 524 to 776 of the family's 1533-position model. The record is from RNAcentral.